GAGCAACACACUUUAAAAGACAGAAGACUGUCCUGAAGUCACUCAGAGUGAGGAACAAAACUGGGCAGCCCUUGCUUAGCCUGGACCAAAGGCCAUGUCCCUUUAAAGGAGCAACUCCACUCACUCCAGAGGCAUCAGAACUCAACAAACAUCAGGAGAUUUUAAACAUCCCACGUUAUUGGGGCUGAAGCAGCCUAUGGGGUGACACAGGAAGGGGAAGCAGACAGGUCAGACAGAGAGGGGAGGAUGAAGAAAAGGAACCCAAACUGCUGAGAAAUCCACCCUGGCAGGCGGGAUCUACCCCAGCCUGCAGGAUUCCUGGAGCUGUGAGACCUCCACGGACAGCCAGGACAUCCUGAGGAAUUCUCUUCAGCUGACUCUUGAAUUAAACCAGCAAACGAGUAUUCAGGGACUCUGCAGUCACUCCCAAAGCAUCCCUGUGAGAAUCCCAGGCAUUUGGCAUCCCAGCAGAGGUUUCCAGCUGCUCUGUCUUCUCCUGGUCCAUGUGAGACAAGUUUUCCACUUCUUUCUCAUAGUUCAACACUUGGGACUGAGGAAAAAAGAAGAUUUGUUUGCUCACCUGAUCUCUGAGGAGCUUUCUAAGCUUCGACACGACAUUUUUAGUUGGGGAGUUGGGGAACAAAUUAAAAACAGAGACUCCACA
Molecule: long non-coding RNA, 664 nt
Organism: Pipra filicauda (Wire-tailed manakin)
Lineage: Eukaryota; Metazoa; Chordata; Aves; Passeriformes; Pipridae
Exons: 3
Source: RefSeq, a predicted model, not a curated record